RNAcentral lists this ribosomal RNA (1412 nucleotides) under uncultured bacterium. RNAcentral describes it as "16S ribosomal RNA". It matches the Rfam family "Bacterial small subunit ribosomal RNA". The record is from RNAcentral.
UUAGAGUUUUAUCCUGGCUCAAGAUGAACGCUAGCGGCAGGCUUAACACAUGCAAGUCGAGGGGCAGCAGGGAGCGGCAACGCUCCGCUGGCGACCGGCGCACGGGUGCGUAACGCGUAUGCAACCUACCUUCAACCGGGGGAUAACUCGGGGAAACCCGAACUAAUACCCCAUAUUCCCGUCCCCCCGCAUGAGGGGGCGGGGAAAGAGCUUUGGUUUUAGAUGGGCAUGCGUGGCAUUAGGUAGUUGGCGGGGCAACGGCCCACCAAGCCUACGAUGCCUAGGGGAGCUGAGAGGCUUACCCCCCACACUGGUACUGAGAACACGGACCAGACUCCUACGGGAGGGAGCAGUGAGGAAUAUUGGUCAAUGGGCGGAAGCCUGAACCAACCAUGCCGCGUGGAGGACGGAGGCCCUAUGGGUCGUAAACUCCUUUUGCCGCAAAGAAAUAAGGGUCCUUGCGGGGCCCCGAUGAAAGAUUGCGGGAAAUAAAGCAUCCGGCUAAACUCCGUGGCCAGCAGCCGCGGAAAUACGGAGGGAUGCGAAGGUUAUUCCGGGAUUUAUUGGGUUUUAAAGGUGGCGUAGGCGGGGCCUUUAAGUCAGCGGUGAAAUACCCCGCCCCCAACUCGGGGGGGCUGCCCGUUGAUACUGUGGGCCUGGAGUCCGAACGGCGCCGGCGGAAUAUGCAAAUGUAGCGGUGAAAUGCUUAGAUAUUGCAUAGAACACCGAUCGCGAAGGCAGCUGGCGAGGACGGCACUGACGCUGAGGCACGAAGGUGCGGGGAUCAAACAGGAUUAGAUACCCUGGUAGCCCGCACAGUAAACGAUGAUGACUUGUUGUCGGCGAUAGACGGUCGGCGACAAAGCGAAAGCGAUAAGUCAUCCACCUGGGGAGUACGAUCGCAAGGUUGAAACUCAAAGGAAUUGACGGGGGCCCGCACAAGCGGAGGAGCAUGUGGUUUAAUUCGAUGAUACGCGAGGAACCUUACCCAGACUCAAAUGGGGGCCGGCAGGCGCGGAGACGCGCCCUCCCUCCGGGGCGGCCUUCAAGGUGCUGCAUGGUUGUCGUCAGCUCGUGCCGUGAGGUGUCAGGUUAAGUCCUAUAACGAGCGCAACCCCUACGUCCAGUUGCCAGCGGGUCGAGCCGGGGACUCUGGACGGACUGCCGGCGCAAGCCGAGAGGAAGGCGGGGAUGACGUCAAAUCAGCACGGCCCUUACGUCUGGGGCGACACACGUGCUACAAUGGCCGGUACAGAGGGCAGCCACGCCGCGAGGCGGAGCGAAUCUCGAAAGCCGGUCUCAGUUCGGAUCGGAGUCUGCAACCCGACUCCGUGAAGUUGGAUUCGCUAGUAAUCGCGCAUCAGCCAUGGCGCGGUGAAUACGUUCCCGGGCCUUGCACUCACCGCCCGUCA